CUGAAAUGUUAAAGCUUUGGCAUUGCUUGAAGUGGUAGUGCAUUUCUUCUUUGCUCCUGACUAAAAAUAGACUUAUCGUUCAUUCCAGUUACCCUUUAUUGACAUUUGAAAUGAAUAACCAAAAAUUUCAUAUUCACGUUGUAAUGUUUCACAAAGACUUGCAAAAUCAUUUGUGAAGUUUAGAGUGAUGAUGGAGUAGGUGAAUCAACUGUUCAAAGGUGGUUUGCAAAAUUUAAAGCUGGAGAGUUUAGCUUGGAAAAUGAC
Long non-coding RNA from Octopus sinensis (East Asian common octopus), 264 nucleotides. RefSeq lists it as uncharacterized. The transcript is spliced from 3 exons. NCBI's taxonomy places the organism in Eukaryota, Metazoa, Mollusca, Cephalopoda, Octopoda, Octopodidae. The record is from RefSeq and is a predicted model, not a curated record.